UAUUUUUCACACCAGCAGGUGGACGCAGCAGUGAGUAAAUCAUCUGCAUCUUUUGGACGUGAGGCUGCACGUGGCACUCUGUGGAUAAUGCAUGCACAUCUGCUCAUCGCUUCUUUUUUGCAAAGUGCGCCUGUCACCCAUAAAUCCAUCACAUCCACGGCCAAAGGCUCCUUCAGAACGAGCCAAAUUGCAGUUUCAGGUGUUGGGUCUUCUCUCACAGUCUCUCUUGCACGCACACUGGCUUGUGCACACAGGGACCUCCUGACCGGGCCCGGGGCGGUUGUGGAUGUGUAGGGUCUUUCAGGAGAGCAAAGCUGACUUGAGGACAGACAGCAAAGCAGUAGCAGCAAAGCCCCGCAGCCCCUCGGAGAGUUCUUUUCAUUCCCGGAACCAAGAGUGGGAGGAAAUGGCCCCUAGGAAGUGUCUUAUUUUCUCAUUUGUUAGACGCCGCUGUCAGCCUGGGAGAGCAGGCACUCUCUGUUGUGAAUCAGCCCAGUUGGAUGAGCUCAUGCUGUGGGGGCUGCAGCCCGCCGCCCCUGCACCCACUCCAUUAGCUGCAGGGAGGUGAGCUCCGCGAGGGGCGGGCCAGGGCGCCACAUCAGAUCACUCCCCUUCACGGAACCCAGUCUAAGUGUGGGAUGGCCCUGUCAUGGCUCACACCAAAUAAAACUGAGUCCAGGACAGCGCUGUGAGCCCUCACCACACCCUUAGCUGGAGGCCACAGGUGGCGGGGCUCAGGUCCGAAGCCCUUCAGCAAAGUCCUGGUGUGGGGCCUUGGAGAAGCCACCAAUGUCUCAAGCCUGCUCUCACCUCCUCAUGGGAGGGUCAGGUGGGGCCAUGCAGUUGAAAGACAUCAACAUUCGCCACCCGCACAAGCGGCCUGGGCAGAGGCUGGCUGCAGGCCCCUAGUCCCCACCUCUGCUCCUUCUCCCAGCCUGGCCUGGGUAGUUGUGGGGCGGGGAGUCUGAGGCAGGGGGUGCCGGAGGAGGCCGUGCCCUUGAGAUGCUGGGAGAGUGCUGAUCUCCCGCUCCUGGAUGUGUGGCCGAGGCCUCCUGAGUGUGCCUGGGUCCCGCCUGCCUGGGGCCACCGUCAGCCUCCCUGAUGCUUCGAACACCAUAGCUGCCUCUCCUUCCUCGCCGUUCCCUAGAGGAAAGUCCUUCUCACCCUGUGCAAGGAGCUCUUGGUUUGGGAAGAGACUGGACAGGACCCCCAAUGACAGCUCAGUCUGGGAAGGCAGCCGAUCUUUCUCAGGCCUGGGUACAGGUUUAUGUGGGAUCCUGGGCACAACAUUUACCUUCUGCACCCAUGGGAAACCUGCCCAGGAAGCAUGGCCCACACCAGGCAGAGUGCACACACCAUUUUUAUUAAGCAGAGUGGCGAGAGCGCAGUGGCUGUGAGGUCCUUCCAGGACCCCGCUUGUGGACAGCUCCCAGCAGCUGCAGCUCACUCCCAGCCCCAGCUGACUCCCAGACCCUCAGUGAGCCCUGGGCUGGAUCAAAGUACAGGGACGAUCCUGUGGGUGCACCCCAGCAUGGCAAGCUUCCAGGAGACCCUAGACCCCGGCUGGGGGUCAGGAAGGCUCUCGCCUCCGUGCUUCUGAGUCCAUAGGAAUUGAGUCUCUGGCCACACGAGGACAGAAUCAGCUACAUCUGAAGAACCUGGAGCUAGAAGAUGAGGGCAAUUAAGUCAUGCGCCUCGGCAAGUUCAUUAAAAUGUUGACUUGCUAAUGGUCCCGGGUGCAAUUUGGAAUGAGGGUGUUAACAUAGAGACUUGGUCUAUUCGGGAACUCCCUGGUCUGAAAAUGGAGCUGCCAAGCUUCUAAUAUGCCCUCCACAGACUAGAGCUCCGACACAUGAAUUAUUAAUGCCGCAUCAUAUUAAUUGUAUUGAUAUGUUAAUAAUUAACAACAAUAUGCUAA
This is a long non-coding RNA of Homo sapiens (human), 1918 nucleotides long. Lineage: Eukaryota; Metazoa; Chordata; Mammalia; Primates; Hominidae. The record is from Ensembl.